AUGGAUGUUGGGGUUUCCGUGGGGCUGAAGAAUGAAAAUGGAUCAUUCAAACUAUUUGUCAUGGAAUGUGGCUGUUAUAUGAAAGACUUGGACAUAACACUUAAUGGAGGAUCCUCUUGGUUUUAUCAAGGAUUCAUAGAUGCUUUUAGCAAUCAUAUCAGAUCAUCUUUGGAAAACGCGAUUAUGAACAAAAUAGUUGAGGGUGCAUCGAAGCUCGACCUUUUCCUAGGAGGUCUUCCAAAGGAAAUUUAUGUUGAUAGAGUCGCUACUAUGAAUGUGACAUUUAUUAAUGAUCCGCGCUUCAGUAGUUCCUCUGUUGAGUUUGAUAUAGAUGGACUAUUUAUUCCAUCUAAUAAAACUGCUCCUCAGAGUGACAUGCAUUUUGGUGAUACCAAACUUGCACCACCUCUUGGCAGCUCUUCAAACAUGUUGUGGAUUUCAUUGGACGAAGAUGUUUUCAACUCUGUUUCAUCUCUCUACUUCAAGGCUGGUUUACUACAACAUAUGGUGGACAAGGUUCCCGAUCAGUUUCUUUUGAACACUGCUGGCUGGAGGUUUUUGAUUCCAAGGUUGUACCAUAAAUAUCCAAACAAGGAUAUGCUACUGAACAUUUCUGCUAUAUCACCUCCCUCUGUGAGGAUUAAUGUAGGUAGAAUUGACACCACGAUGGACUUAGAUGUCAUAGUAAUCGUAUUGGGUUCUGAUGAUAUAGUUCCAGUUGCAUGCAUAUCACUGUCAAUUUCUGUUUCUGGACGUGCAAGUGUUUCUGGGAAUAAUCUUGUUGGAAACGUUGAGUUAAAUUAUUUCUCGUUUGACUUGAAGUGGAGCGAUAUUGGCAAACUUCAUACUGGUAUAGUGCCGAGUCCGACGCGUAUUGUCCUGAAAACUUUGUUCAUGCCCUACGUGAACUCGUAUCUUGGACACGGUUUCCCGUUGCCCAUCAUCAAGGGCUUCGUCAUCAGAGAUUCUUAUAUCCUCACUUCAUACUCAAGCAUUAUGUUUCCUUCGUCGAACCAAUGA
This 1020-nucleotide ribosomal RNA is filed under the name Triticum aestivum (bread wheat). Its description in RNAcentral is "partial small subunit ribosomal RNA". Lineage: Eukaryota; Viridiplantae; Streptophyta; Magnoliopsida; Poales; Poaceae. The record is from RNAcentral.